This is a long non-coding RNA of Aedes aegypti (yellow fever mosquito), 691 nucleotides long. RefSeq lists it as uncharacterized. Lineage: Eukaryota; Metazoa; Arthropoda; Insecta; Diptera; Culicidae. The transcript is spliced from 2 exons. The record is from RefSeq and is a predicted model, not a curated record.
CGUCUGCACUAGUCACUCCUCGAGUCCACUCGCUACACUCUGAAAUAAUAGAAAUCAUCAGCGGUUUAAAACUCAUACAUUUUUGUCAUUCUUAAAGACUACACUUGGCACAGUUUAAGUGGUAUACAUUUUUGGUAUAAAAAACUAAACUAAGCUGGAUUUUCACAAAACUUUUUUUAUCAGUGUAUUUUAGCGACCGCAGAUGUUCGCAAAAACAAAAAUGUCGGUGAAGACGACUUGACUCGUGAAAUUUGUUUAAUUAAUUUGUCUAUUGUCUAUUCGAUUAACUAGCAUUACAAAAAUUACAAAAGUGGACUGCUUUCCAUCAGAAAUAGCGAAUCAAUCGAAUUGAGAAUUGCUAGGAACUGUUUGGCGGAAAAGCUCGAAAACACCGGGUGUCGGCACCUGCAAAACGGAAACAGCGUUAGGGAGUUCUACUAUAAUGCAGGGAACACGGUCCAGAAAGCAGGAACAUGAGAAGAAUCCAUCAUUUCCGAUCUGGAUGCUGUUGAAUAUUUGCAGGAUAAUUAAGAACGAGCGGCUCGGAAGUUCCAAGAAUGGCAGAUAACGCAGAAUCAAAAUUUUAGUUAUCUGAAAUAAGGCGUUGGUCUUAAUAUUAAGUGCGAACUACUGAUUUAAUUUCCAUGUGUUUUAACGAUAAUAAAAUAAAAACGGGGUGUUUGAUUUUUUU